Non-coding RNA from Caenorhabditis elegans, 200 nucleotides. Lineage: Eukaryota; Metazoa; Nematoda; Chromadorea; Rhabditida; Rhabditidae. The record is from Ensembl.
CUUAGAUAUACAGUGUGCUUCGAAAUAGUGCAAGGUGCUACGAGAGAGAAGGUGCUUGCCACUCAAUACAAUAUGAAUUUGAUAUCUUGAGGGCGAUUCGCGCCUGGUGGAAGAUGAGGCAGUUGUGCGAAAUUGGAUAGAAAAAGAGAAAGGAAUAUGAAAACUCUUGAGAAAUUGAUAGUGUAUGGGAAGAUUUGGGG